ACAAUGGUGUCUUUAGACACCACCAUUGAUCUCAAAUCCGUUCUC
Non-coding RNA from Picea glauca (white spruce), 45 nucleotides. NCBI's taxonomy places the organism in Eukaryota, Viridiplantae, Streptophyta, Pinopsida, Pinales, Pinaceae. The record is from Rfam.